GGGCUUCAAAACCGGCCGGACUCCCUCUAUGUUACCUCUGCCGGUCGCAAGACCGGCUAUGGCGAUAAACGGUCUUCGAAAUAAACCUAUCGGACCCGGGGGCGGUACCCGGCGCCUCCACCAAGACCCAGGGCCUUUGGACGCAACGUCCGCAAAAGGGCGGGUUGCCUGGGUUUCGGCGGGGGCGAAAUAGGAUCGACGAGGGCGUAAAGGUAGAGCUUUCGCUCGGCAUGGUUCCGCCGUUAUCGGGCCUCUGCAAUAGUUGCCAAUGACAACUUUGCUCCGGUGGCGGUGGCUGCGUAAGCGGUCCCCAAUACCAAACCAAAGUCCUACCGGUUAGCAUCGGAUAGGCGGGGUUCGGAGGCACCUGGCAACAGAAGCCUCCACU
This 388-nucleotide transfer-messenger RNA is filed under the name Methylobacterium sp. Leaf399. RNAcentral's name for it is "Alphaproteobacteria transfer-messenger RNA". It matches the Rfam family "Alphaproteobacteria transfer-messenger RNA". Rfam says of the family: Bacterial tmRNA, also known as 10Sa RNA or SsrA, is named for its dual tRNA and mRNA-like properties. Its role is to liberate the mRNA from a stalled ribosome. To accomplish this part of the tmRNA is used as a reading frame that ends in a translation stop signal. The record is from Rfam by way of RNAcentral. Lineage: Bacteria; Pseudomonadati; Pseudomonadota; Alphaproteobacteria; Hyphomicrobiales; Methylobacteriaceae.